GAAGGUAUAGCUCAGUGGUAGAGUGUUUGCUUAGCAUGCACGAGGUCCUGGGUUCAAUCCCCAGUACCUCCA
This 72-nucleotide transfer RNA is filed under the name Camelus bactrianus (Bactrian camel). It matches the Rfam family "tRNA". Rfam says of the family: Transfer RNA (tRNA) molecules are approximately 80 nucleotides in length. Their secondary structure includes four short double-helical elements and three loops (D, anti-codon, and T loops). Lineage: Eukaryota; Metazoa; Chordata; Mammalia; Artiodactyla; Camelidae. The record is from Rfam by way of RNAcentral. RNAcentral also lists the same sequence under 1 other name.